AGCGAACGCUGGCGGCAGGCUUAACACAUGCAAGUCGAACGGUCCUUCGGGAUAGUGGCGGACGGGUGUGUAACACGUGGGAACGUACCCUUAGGUUCGGAACAACACAGGGAAACUUGUGCUAAUACCGGAUAAGCCCUUCGGGGGAAAGAUUUAUCGCCUUUGGAGCGGCCCGCGUCUGAUUAGCUUGUUGGUGAGGUAAUGGCUCACCAAGGCUACGAUCAGUAGCUGGUCUGAGAGGAUGGCCAGCCACACUGGGACUGAGACACGGCCCAGACUCCUACGGGAGGCAGCAGUGGGGAAUCUUGCGCAAUGGGCGAAAGCCUGACGCAGCCAUGCCGCGUGGAUGAUGAAGGUCUUAGGAUUGUAAAAUCCUUUCACCGGGGACGAUAAUGACGGUACCCGGAGAAGAAGCCCCGGCUAACCUCGUGCCAGCCGCCGCGGUAA
This 447-nucleotide ribosomal RNA is filed under the name uncultured bacterium. RNAcentral's name for it is "partial 16S ribosomal RNA". It matches the Rfam family "Bacterial small subunit ribosomal RNA", at positions 29 to 523 of the family's 1533-position model. The record is from RNAcentral.